This 253-nucleotide ribosomal RNA is filed under the name uncultured bacterium. RNAcentral's name for it is "partial 16S ribosomal RNA". It matches the Rfam family "Bacterial small subunit ribosomal RNA", at positions 524 to 776 of the family's 1533-position model. The record is from RNAcentral.
UACGAAGGUGGCAAGCGUUACUCGGAAUUACUAGGCGUAAAGGGCAGGUAGGCGGUUCGGUAAGUCUGUUGUGUAAGCUCCCGGCUUAACUGGGAGAGGUCAACGGAAACUACCGGACUUGAGUAUAGGAGAGGUUGCUGGAAUUCCCGGUGUAGCGGUGAAAUGCGCAGAGAUCGGGAGGAACACCAAUGGCGAAGGCAGGUAACUGGACUAUUACUGACGCUCAGCUGCGAAAGCUAGGGGAGCAAACAGG